Molecule: ribosomal RNA, 433 nt
Filed under: uncultured bacterium
Lineage: Bacteria
Description: partial 16S ribosomal RNA
Rfam family: Bacterial small subunit ribosomal RNA
Source: RNAcentral
AACGAACGCUGGCGGCAGGCCUAACACAUGCAAGUCGAGCGCGCCCUUCGGGGUGGGCGGCGGACGGGUGAGUAACGCGUGGGAACGUGCCCUUUUCUACGGAAUAGCCCCGGGAAGCGGAGAGUAAUACCGUAUACGCCCUUUGGGGGAAAGAUUUAUCGGAAAAGGAUCGGCCCGCGUUGGUUUAGGUAGUUGGUGGGGUAAUGGCCUACCAAGCCGACGAUCCAUAGCUGGUUUGAGAGGAUGCUCAGCCACACUGGGACUGAGACACGGCCGAGACUCCUACGGGAGGCAGCAGUGGGGAAUCUUAGACAAUGGGGGCAACCCUGAUCUAGCCAUGCCGCGUGAGUGAUGAAGGCCUUAGGGUUGUAAAGCUCUUUCAGCUGGGAAGAUAAUGACGGUACCAGCAGAAGAAGCCCCGGCUAACUCCGUG